Molecule: ribosomal RNA, 462 nt
Filed under: uncultured Bacillota bacterium
Lineage: Bacteria; Bacillati; Bacillota
Description: bacterial SSU rRNA
Source: RNAcentral
GAGUUUGAUCCUGGCUCAGGACGAACGCUGGCGGCACGCCUAACACAUGCAAGUCGAACGGAGAUAUUUUGGUUUACUGAGAUAUYUUAGUGGCGGACGGGUGAGUAACACGUGAGCAACCUGCCUYUGAGAGAGGGAUAGCUUCUGGAAACGGAUGGUAAUACCUCAUAACAUAACGAAGCCGCAUGACUUUGUUAUCAAAGAUUUAUCACUCAGAGAUGGGCUCGCGUYUGAUUAGAUAGUUGGUGAGGUAACGGCCCACCAAGUCGACGAUCAGUAGCCGGACUGAGAGGUUGAACGGCCACAUUGGGACUGAGACACGGCCCAGACUCCUACGGGAGGCAGCAGUGGGGAAUAUUGCACAAUGGGGGAAACCCUGAUGCAGCGAUGCCGCGUGGAGGAAGAAGGUUUUCGGAUUGUAAACUCCUGUCUAAAGGACGAUAAUGACGGUACCUAGAGAGG